AUAAUGGGUCAGCGACUUAUAUUCUGUAGCAAGGUUAACCGAAUAGGGGAGCCGAAGGGAAACCGAGUCUUAACUGGGCGUUAAGUUGCAGGGUAUAGACCCGAAACCCGGUGAUCUAGCCAUGGGCAGGUUGAAGGUUGGGUAACACUAACUGGAGGACCGAACCGACUAAUGUUGAAAAAUUAGCGGAUGACUUGUGGCUGGGGGUGAAAGGCCAAUCAAACCGGGAGAUAGCUGGUUCUCCCCGAAAGCUAUUUAGGUAGCGCCUCGUGAAUUCAUCUCCGGGGGUAGAGCACUGUUUCGGCAAGGGGGUCAUCCCGACUUACCAACCCGAUGCAAACUGCGAAUACCGGAGAAUGUUAUCACGGGAGACACACGGCGGGUGCUAACGUCCGUCGUGAAGAGGGAAACAACCCAGACCGCCAGCUAAGGUCCCAAAGUCAUGGUUAAGUGGGAAACGAUGUGGGAAGGCCCAGACAGCCAGGAUGUUGGCUUAGAAGCAGCCAUCAUUUAAAGAAAGCGUAAUAGCUCACUGGUCGAGUCGGCCUGCGCGGAAGAUGUAACGGGGCUAAACCAUGCACCGAAGCUGCGGCAGCGACGCUGAUGCGUUGUUGGGUAGGGGAGCGUUCUGUAAGCCUGCGAAGGUGUGCUGUGAGGCAUGCUGGAGGUAUCAGAAGUGCGAAUGCUGACAUAAGUAACGAUAAAGCGGGUGAAAAGCCCGCUCGCCGGAAGACCAAGGGUUCCUGUCCAACGUUAAUCGGGGCAGGGUGAGUCGACCCCUAAGGCGAGGCCGAAAGGCGUAGUCGAUGGGAAACAGGUUAAUAUUCCUGUACUUGGUGUUACUGCGAAGGGGGGACGGAGAAGGCUAUGUUGGCCGGGCGACGGUUGUCCCGGUUUAAGCGUGUAGGCUGGUUUUCCAGGCAAAUCCGGAAAAUCAAGGCUGAGGCGUGAUGACGAGGCACUGCGGUGCUGAAGCAACAAAUGCCCUGCUUCCAGGAAAAGCCUCUAAGCAUCAGGUAACAUCAAAUCGUACCCCAAACCGACACAGGUGGUCAGGUAGAGAAUACCAAGGCGCUUGAGAGAACUCGGGUGAAGGAACUAGGCAAAAUGGUGCCGUAACUUCGGGAGAAGGCACGCUGAUAUGUAGGUGAAGUCCUUCGCGGAUGGAGCUGAAAUCAGUCGAAGAUACCAGCUGGCUGCAACUGUUUAUUAAAAACACAGCACUGUGCAAACACGAAAGUGGACGUAUACGGUGUGACGCCUGCCCGGUGCCGGAAGGUUAAUUGAUGGGGU
This 1293-nucleotide ribosomal RNA is filed under the name Escherichia coli. RNAcentral's name for it is "bacterial LSU rRNA". It matches the Rfam family "Bacterial large subunit ribosomal RNA", at positions 612 to 1890 of the family's 2925-position model. The record is from RNAcentral. Lineage: Bacteria; Pseudomonadati; Pseudomonadota; Gammaproteobacteria; Enterobacterales; Enterobacteriaceae.